UGGGAAGCUGACCCAAGUAUAUGCAUCUUUUAAAAACUCAGAUUAUUCUUCUGCCCAAAAAUUUUUGAAACCACUGACUUAUGCUGUCAGAAUUGAUCAACUCCCUGGGCUGGGAAGCUCCGAUUUUCUCUUCCAGAUUUCCUGUGUACCCCUCCCCUCCCUGUCCUCUGCCACAUCAGGUAGGAUGCAUGAAUUUCUUCAGCAAGCUCCUUGUCCUUUGGCUUCCAGGUUCCUGGUGGGAAGAGUCACAUCUAAUCUCAAGAAGCUUUUCUUUUGUAGGAUGCUACAUCAUUCUCAGAUGGGUAUGUUUUCCUCAUUUGACUAGCUACUAAUUGUGUCCAUUCUUCUAACCAAUUGCUGAAC
RNAcentral lists this long non-coding RNA (363 nucleotides) under Callithrix jacchus (white-tufted-ear marmoset). Its description in RNAcentral is "lncRNA (ENSCJAG00000054334.2)". Lineage: Eukaryota; Metazoa; Chordata; Mammalia; Primates; Cebidae. The record is from RNAcentral.